Molecule: non-coding RNA, 73 nt
Organism: Ameiurus melas (black bullhead)
Lineage: Eukaryota; Metazoa; Chordata; Actinopteri; Siluriformes; Ictaluridae
Source: the annotation of a GenBank genome assembly
GGCGUGGUUGCUUAGUGGUUAGCACGUUUGCCUCGCACCUCUGGGGUUGAGGGUUCGAAUCCCGCCUCCGCUC